RNAcentral lists this ribosomal RNA (563 nucleotides) under Saccharomyces cerevisiae (brewer's yeast). RNAcentral describes it as "eukaryotic LSU rRNA". It matches the Rfam family "Eukaryotic large subunit ribosomal RNA", at positions 1 to 561 of the family's 3401-position model. The record is from RNAcentral. Lineage: Eukaryota; Fungi; Ascomycota; Saccharomycetes; Saccharomycetales; Saccharomycetaceae.
AAGUUUGACCUCAAAUCAGGUAGGAGUACCCGCUGAACUUAAGCAUAUCAAUAAGCGGAGGAAAAGAAACCAACCGGGAUUGCCUUAGUAACGGCGAGUGAAGCGGCAAAAGCUCAAAUUUGAAAUCUGGUACCUUCGGUGCCCGAGUUGUAAUUUGGAGAGGGCAACUUUGGGGCCGUUCCUUGUCUAUGUUCCUUGGAACAGGACGUCAUAGAGGGUGAGAAUCCCGUGUGGCGAGGAGUGCGGUUCUUUGUAAAGUGCCUUCGAAGAGUCGAGUUGUUUGGGAAUGCAGCUCUAAGUGGGUGGUAAAUUCCAUCUAAAGCUAAAUAUUGGCGAGAGACCGAUAGCGAACAAGUACAGUGAUGGAAAGAUGAAAAGAACUUUGAAAAGAGAGUGAAAAAGUACGUGAAAUUGUUGAAAGGGAAGGGCAUUUGAUCAGACAUGGUGUUUUGUGCCCUCUGCUCCUUGUGGGUAGGGGAAUCUCGCAUUUCACUGGGCCAGCAUCAGUUUUGGUGGCAGGAUAAAUCCAUAGGAAUGUAGCUUGCCUCGGUAAGUAUUAUAGC